CUUUGGAUAUUAUGCAUACAAAGUUAUUCAUGGGAUUACCAAAGUGAUUCAGAAGAUGGCUCUAUUGAGUACCUUUCCAACAACUUGUGUUGGUUUGUCUGGCAUUGCUAUCCUUGGAAGGUAUUGCCAGAAAAUUUUAAUCCCAGAAGCCUUGUUCAUCUUGAUCUCUGGGGAGUUCGUUGCAUUAUUUAUGGAAUGAAACAAAGCAAUUGCCGUCUCUACGGAGGCUAAAUCUAAGUUGCUCCAAAAGCCUGAAGAGAACACCAGAUUUCAAGGGGAUGCCAAAUUUGGAGUAUUUGUAUCUAGGGGAAUGUACGAAUCUUGAAGAGGUUCACCAUUCCUUGGGGUGUUCCAGAAAACUCAUCCUGUUGAAUUUGUCUUUUUGUACAACACUUGAGAGGUUUCCAUACGUUAAUGUGGAAUCUCUUGAAUCUCUGAAUCUAAGCUUCUGCUAUAGUUUAAAGAAAUUUCCAGAAAU
This is a long non-coding RNA of Solanum tuberosum (potato), 478 nucleotides long. RefSeq lists it as uncharacterized. The record is from RefSeq and is a predicted model, not a curated record. The transcript has 2 exons. NCBI's taxonomy places the organism in Eukaryota, Viridiplantae, Streptophyta, Magnoliopsida, Solanales, Solanaceae.